RNAcentral lists this transfer RNA (73 nucleotides) under Bos taurus (domestic cattle). It matches the Rfam family "tRNA". From Rfam's summary of the family: Transfer RNA (tRNA) molecules are approximately 80 nucleotides in length. Their secondary structure includes four short double-helical elements and three loops (D, anti-codon, and T loops). RNAcentral also lists the same sequence under 5 other names. The record is from Rfam by way of RNAcentral. Lineage: Eukaryota; Metazoa; Chordata; Mammalia; Artiodactyla; Bovidae.
UUCCUGGUGGUCUAGUGGUGAGGACUCAGCACUUUCACUGCCAGGACCCUGGGUUCAAUUCCUAGUCAGGAGG